UGUUGUUCAUGUUCUUCUUUCAUUUUUCACUCACUCUGCACUUCCUGAAGCUGGAAUAUACAGGCUGUUAGUUGCUACGGUACGUUUCCGUACUGCAUGUAAAAAGUGAAUUGUGACCAGUACUCAGAUUACUUUUUGUUCCUCAGCAGCGCCACAGCCACGUAGCUGAAGGCUAACAGUGAGAUGGGGUUAGCUUACAUACAGUAUCCCCACGUAUCGGCACAAAGGCCUUUGCACCUUUUGCGCUACAACUUCAAAAGAUAAUGUGCACACUGUCUCCACCCUACAAAAGCUGCUGCUCUAUUUUUAUAUCCUGUGUGAAGUAAGAUCAGGUGAUCUGUGUUGUGAAAGCGUGCCUGAAAAUGUUUGUUUGAUGUUUUCUGUGAAAUGUGCAGAUAAUUGUACAGCUUGUGUAACGCAGGUGACAUAAUUAUUUGCUGACUGAUCCUGGAGCUCUGCGUCUGCUGAUUUAACCUGCGCCCGCAACUGCCAGCAUUUUCGGGUUUCUGGUGCGGCUGGCAGAUAUCUGCCCAUGGUUCUGAGAUUGUGUUUCGACAAGCGUGUUCCCUCUUUUCCUCGCCACACAGACUGUUUACCUGCAUGUCAUCAAAGCGUACUCAGACACGACUGGUCACCUGAGCUCGGAUUCAAACGUAGAUGGAGCUACUCCCCUGUAGUUAACCUGGCUCAGCUUGAGCGACUCUCAGUGGGUAUCGCUGCCGGCUUUUAUUUGAUUUGCAGACAGUUCAAAUGAAGGCUCGGCGCACCGAAUGGCCAUCUGCUCUAACCUUGUUUCAUCGACCAUAAACAGACCGGCUCCAUCAGCGAAAGAAAAAAAAAGUCUUGGCCAAAUAUUUGCUGCUCUUCGACCCCAUUUGGUUUACUGUGUUCUCUGUUUGCAUUUCAAUGACCCACGGUCAGUGUCAGAACGAUGGCACGUGUGUCCCUGACGAGCUGUCCCCUGAUAAGACGCCAGUGCGAGGGAAAGGCGCCGAGGCCUUGUGGGAUAGGAGCGAGGGUGAAGGAUGGAGCAAAUACAGACAGGCUGCUGGUUCACACACACGUAACAGUCGAGCUCUGGUAUCAGCCUCCUCACACACAUCAAAAAUCCCGCUGCAGUGCCAACCGGCUCCCCGAUAACUGCAGAAGCCUUGUUCCCUUUUGUCUUGUGGUUCCCACCUUUAUCGGCUUGUAAAAUAUCCUCGCCGAAGUGUCAGGAAAAUGCUUCGCGGAGCAAUUGUUAUUCAUUGCUUUAUUAUCUGAAUGGCACUUGUCGACUAAAUAACGCCUCCCACUGUGCUGCCUCCUCAGUCAAGCAUAAUGUAGUGCCUUUAAUCCCAAACCUC
Molecule: long non-coding RNA, 1346 nt
Organism: Oreochromis niloticus (Nile tilapia)
Lineage: Eukaryota; Metazoa; Chordata; Actinopteri; Cichliformes; Cichlidae
Exons: 3
Source: RefSeq, a predicted model, not a curated record